This 207-nucleotide non-coding RNA is filed under the name unclassified sequences. RNAcentral describes it as "IS605-orfB-I RNA". It matches the Rfam family "IS605-orfB-I RNA". The record is from Rfam by way of RNAcentral.
ACCUUAUACAAAUGUAUUAAACGCAAGACAGUUUAGCAUUUCCCUGUAAGGUGGUGUUAAAUAGAAGCUUUAACGAUAAGUGCUAUUGUGUAACUAUUAAAGUUGAAAUAGUAUGAGUUAAAGUGGAAUAGGUUAAUCGUAAGACCUUAAGUUGAAAAACUUUAAAAUUGACCUUAAAUACUUUUAUAAUUAUUAAGUUACGGUAAA